Molecule: ribosomal RNA, 440 nt
Filed under: uncultured bacterium
Lineage: Bacteria
Description: partial 16S ribosomal RNA
Rfam family: Bacterial small subunit ribosomal RNA
Source: RNAcentral
CCUACGGGAGGCAGCAGUGGGGAAUAUUGCACACUGGGGGAACCCCUGAUGCAGCGACGCCGCGUGAGUGAAGAAGUAUUUCGGUACGUAAAGCUCUAUCAGCAGGGAAGAAAAUGACGUUACCUGACUAAGAAGCCCCGGCUAACUACGUGCCAGCAGCCGCGGUACUACGUAGGGGGCAAGCGUUAUCCGGAUUUACUGGGGGUAAAGGGAGCGUAGACGGCAGGACAAGUCUGAGGUGAAAUCCCGGGGCUUAACCACGGAACUGCAUUGGAAACUGUUCGGCUGGAGUGCAGGAGGGGUAAGCGGAAUUCCUAGUGUAGCGGUGAAAUGCGUAGAUAUUAGGAGGAACACCAGUGGCGAAGGCGGCUUACUGGACUGUAACUGACGUUGAGGCUCGAAAGCGUGGGGAGCAAACAGGAUUAGAUACCCCGGUAGUC